AUUGGACGCUGGCGGCAGGCCUAACACAUGCAAGUCGAACGAGUGGCGGACGGGUGAGUAAUGUCUGGGCAACUGCCUGAUGGAGGGGGAUAACUACUGGAAACGGUAGCUAAUACCGCAUACCAUCGGAUGUGCCCAGGUGGGCUUAGCUAGUAGGUGGGUGAAAGGCUCACCUAGGCGACGCUCCCUAGCUGGUCUGAGAGGCGGACCGGCCACACUGGAACUGAGACACGGUCCAGACUCCUACGGGAGGCAGCAGUGGGGAAUAUUGCACAAUGGGCGCAAGCCUGAUGCAGCAAUGCCGCGUGUAUGAAGAAGGCCUUCGGGGUGUAAAGUACUUUCAGCGGGGAGGCGUUACCCGCAGAAGAAGCACCGGCUAACUCCGUGCCAGCAGCCGCGGUAAUAC
This 406-nucleotide ribosomal RNA is filed under the name uncultured bacterium. RNAcentral's name for it is "partial 16S ribosomal RNA". It matches the Rfam family "Bacterial small subunit ribosomal RNA", at positions 30 to 526 of the family's 1533-position model. The record is from RNAcentral.